ACGAAGGUGGCAAGCGUUGUUCGGUAUUACUGGGCUUAAAGCGUGUGUAGGCGGAAAAGUAAGCGUUUUGUGAAAUCCCUCGGCUUAACCGAGGAAUUGCUUGACGAACUGCUUUUCUUGAGGCAAGUAGGGGUGUACGGAACUCUUGGUGGAGCGGUGGAAUGCGUAGAUAUCAAGAGGAACGCCAGAGGUGAAGACGGUACACUGGGCUUGUCCUGACGCUGAGACACGAAAGCGUGGGGAGCAAACAGG
This 252-nucleotide ribosomal RNA is filed under the name uncultured bacterium. RNAcentral's name for it is "partial 16S ribosomal RNA". It matches the Rfam family "Bacterial small subunit ribosomal RNA", at positions 525 to 776 of the family's 1533-position model. The record is from RNAcentral.